RNAcentral lists this ribosomal RNA (491 nucleotides) under Fidelibacterota bacterium. RNAcentral's name for it is "bacterial SSU rRNA". It matches the Rfam family "Bacterial small subunit ribosomal RNA", at positions 1 to 474 of the family's 1533-position model. Lineage: Bacteria; Pseudomonadati; Fidelibacterota. The record is from RNAcentral.
ACAACGGAGAGUUUGAUCCUGGCUCAGGACUAACGCUGGCGGCGUGCCUAACACAUGCAAGUCAAGGAGAACGUUCCCUUCGGGGAACUAUUAAACUGGCGGACGGGUGAGUAAUGCAUAGGUAACCUGCCCUGGAGACUGGGAUAACUUCGCGAAAGCGAUGCUAAUACCGGAUAAUGCAGCGGACCCUAAGGGGUACAGUUGUUAAAGCGGGCUUCGGCUCGUACUUCAAGAUGGGCCUAUGUCCGAUUAGCUUGUUGGUGAGGUAAAAGCUUACCAAGGCUAUGAUCGGUAGCUGGUCUGAGAGGAUGAUCAGCCACACUGGGAUUGAGAUACGGCCCAGACUCCUACGGGAGGCAGCAGUGGGGAAUCUUGCGCAAUGGGGGAAACCCUGACGCAGCAACGCCGCGUGACCGAUGAAGCUUUUCGGAGUGUAAAGGUCUGUCGUGAGGGAAGAAUGGCUUCUAUUCAAAUAGUUUAGAGGCAUGACG